Molecule: ribosomal RNA, 858 nt
Filed under: Micromonospora sp. M61
Lineage: Bacteria; Bacillati; Actinomycetota; Actinomycetes; Micromonosporales; Micromonosporaceae
Description: partial 23S ribosomal RNA
Rfam family: Bacterial large subunit ribosomal RNA
Source: RNAcentral
GCGCGGCAGGACGGAAAGACCCCGGGACCUUUACUAUAGCUUGACAUUGGUACUCGAAUUAGUUUGUGUAGGAUAGGUGGGAGCCGGUGAAGUCCAUACGCCAGUAUGGGUGGAGGCAAUCUUGAAAUACCACUCUGGUUGAUUUGGGUAUCUAACUUCGGACCGUUAUCCGGUUCAGGGACAGUGUCUGGUGGGUAGUUUAACUGGGGCGGUUGCCUCCUAAAAGGUAACGGAGGCGCCCAAAGGUUCCCUCAGCCUGGUUGGCAAUCAGGUGUUGAGUGCAAGUACACAAGGGAGCUUGACUGUGAGACUGACAGGUCGAGCAGGGACGAAAGUCGGGACUAGUGAUCCGGCACUUGCGAGUGGAAGCGGUGUCGCUCAACGGAUAAAAGGUACCCCGGGGAUAACAGGCUGAUCUUCCCCAAGAGUCCAUAUCGACGGGAUGGUUUGGCACCUCGAUGUCGGCUCGUCGCAUCCUGGGGCUGUAGCAGGUCCCAAGGGUUGGGCUGUUCGCCCAUUAAAGCGGUACGCGAGCUGGGUUUAGAACGUCGUGAGACAGUUCGGUCCCUAUCCGCCGUGCGCGUAGGAUACUUGAGAAGGGCUGUCCCUAGUACGAGAGGACCGGGACGGACGAACCUCUGGUGUGCCAGUUGUCCUGCCAAGGGCACGGCUGGUUAGCUACGUUCGGAAGGGAUAACCGCUGAAAGCAUCUAAGCGGGAAGCCUGCUUCAAGAUGAGGUAUCCCACCCACCUUGGUGGGGUAAGGCCCCCAGCUAGACGACUGGGUUGAUAGGCCGGAAAUGUAAGCCCGGUAACGGGUUCAGUUGACCGGUACUAAUAGGCCGAGGACUUGACUAC